AUGACGCAGACUGGGACAUGUUUUGGCGCUCUGAGAUCGUGCAUCGCUGCCUACAAUGAAGGGCUCAUCUCCGGUAUUAUGGACCUAUACAAGGCUGCAUCUUACAAUGUGUGCAGCGUGGUCAGAAAGGCAAAGCAGAGCUACAGGGAAAAACUAGAGUCACAGUCACAGUGCAACUCUAGGAGCCUGUGGAAGGGACUGCAGACAAUAACGGACUACAAACAACCAGCUUCUUCAGUGAUGAAUGCCAGCACUUCACUGGCUGUUGAGCUGAACACGUUUUAUGCUCGCUUCGACACUGCAGCAAUUAAAACAACAAAAGUCUGCACGUGCACGGAGUGCACCAGUGAAAACAAUGCCUUCAUCAUCACAGAGGAUGCUGUGAGGAAAGCUUUCAGGAGAGUGAACAACAUGAAGGCAGUAGGACCAGAUGCAAUCCCUGGUCGGGUUCUGAGAGCCUGCGCUGACCAGCUAGCACUGGUGUUCAUGGAGAUCUUCAACCUCUCCCUGGCCCAAGCAGUGGUUCCCACGUGCUUCAAAGAGUCCAUCAUUGUCCCUGUCCCAAAGAAACAACAGCCCGCUUGCCACAAUGAUUACCACCCACUAGCACUGACUUCAAUUGUGAUGAAGUGUUUUGAAAGACUGAUGAGAGAUCACAUCACUUCUUCACUUCCUGCCACCAUCGACCCACUUCAGUUUGCAUACCAGACUAAUUGUUCCACAGACGAUGUCAUAGCUCACCUGCUCCACACAUCCCUGAGUCACCUGGACACUGGCAGAGGGAAUUAUGUUAGGAUGCUGUUCGUGGACUACAGUUCAGCAUUCAACACAAUAAUUCCCUCUAAGCUUUUCACCAAGUUGAAGGAUCUAGGACUCAGCUCACCACUGUGUCAGUGGAUCCUCAACUUCCUCACAGACAGACCCCAAUCAGUGAGGGUGGGAAAACAAGUCUCCCCCUCCAUCUCACUCCAUCUCACUCAGGGCUGUGUUUUAAGCCCCCUGCUGUACUCACUGUACACUUAUGACUGUGUAGCCACAUCGGACACAACCUCCAUUAAGUUUGCUGAUGACACUGUUGUUAUGGGCCUGAUCUCUGACAACAUCAAGAAGGCCUACCUGGAAGAGAUUAUGAACCUGGAGACCUGGUGCCAGGAGAACAACCUCCUCCUAAAUGUCAGCAAGACAAAGGAGCUGAUCACUUCAAAGCAGGCAAGGAAUUAUGAGCCCCUGAUCAUCAAUGGCACGCCAGUGGAGAGAGUAGACAGUUUCUGGUACCUGUGUGUCCACUUCACUCAGGACCUGUCAUGGUCCUGCCACAUUAACACCCUGGUUAAGAAUGCCCGCACACAUCACAUCACUGUAGGACUGGACUCCCUCACACACAUCACAUUACCACAUGCACUUUGGGGUUUUUUGCACAUUUCUUAUAAUUUAUGA
Molecule: long non-coding RNA, 1437 nt
Filed under: Oreochromis niloticus (Nile tilapia)
Lineage: Eukaryota; Metazoa; Chordata; Actinopteri; Cichliformes; Cichlidae
Description: lncRNA (ENSONIG00000028791.1)
Source: RNAcentral